RNAcentral lists this ribosomal RNA (439 nucleotides) under uncultured bacterium. RNAcentral describes it as "bacterial SSU rRNA". It matches the Rfam family "Bacterial small subunit ribosomal RNA", at positions 29 to 513 of the family's 1533-position model. The record is from RNAcentral.
AACGAACGCUGGCGGCAUGCCUAACACAUGCAAGUCGAACGAAGUCUUCGGACUUAGUGGCGCACGGGUGCGUAACGCGUGGGAAUCUGCCCUUGGGUGCGGAAUAACUUCUCGAAAGGGAUGCUAAUACCGCAUAAUGUCGUAAGACCAAAGAUUUAUCGCCCAAGGAUGAGCCCGCGUAAGAUUAGCUAGUUGGUGGGGUAAAAGCCUACCAAGGCGACGAUCUUUAGCUGGUCUGAGAGGAUGAUCAGCCACACUGGGACUGAGACACGGCCCAGACUCCUACGGGAGGCAGCAGUGGGGAAUAUUGGACAAUGGCGAAAGCCUGAUCCAGCAAUGCCGCGUGAGUGAUGAAGGCCCUAGGGUUGUAAAGCUCUUUUACCCAGGGAUGAUAAUGACAGUACCUGGAGAAUAAGCUCCGGCUAACUCCGUGCCAGCA